GGUUGAAGGCUGGGUAACACCAGCUGGAGGACCGAACCCGUGAACGUUGAAAAGUUCUGGGAUGACUUGUGGAUAGGGGUGAAAGGCCAAUCAAACCUGGACAUAGCUGGUUCUCCGCGAAAUCUAUUUAGGUAGAGCGUCAGACGAAUUCCUUGGGGGGUAGAGCACUGGAUGGAUGCGGGGGUCGCGAGAUCUACCAAUUCUAACCAAACUCCGAAUACCCAAGAGAACUAUCUGGCAGACACACGGCGGGUGCUAACGUCCGUCGUGAAAAGGGAAACAACCCUAACCAUCAUCUAAGGCCCCCAAGUCAUGGCUAAGUGGGAAACGAUGUGGGAUUGCUUUGACAACCAGGAUGUUGGCUUAGAAGCAGCCAUCAUUUAAAGAAAGCGUAACAGCUCACUGGUCAAGCGAUCCUGCGCGGAAAAUGUAACGGGGCUCAAGCCAUGCGCCGAAGGUAUGGGUGUGCGUAAGCACGCGGUAGCGGAGCGUUCCGUAAGCCUGUGAAGGUUGGUCGUGAGACCAGCUGGAGGUAUCGGAAGUGAGAAUGCUGACAUGAGUAGCGACAAAGAGUGUGAGAAACACUCUCGCCGAAAGUCCAAGGGUUCCUGCGCAAGGUUAAUCCACGCAGGGUGAGCCGGCCCCUAAGGCGAGGCCGAAAGGCGUAGUCGAUGGGAACCACGUUAAUAAUCGUGGGCCAGCGGGUGGUGACGGAUGGGAAAGCGUGUAGGCUCUUAUCGGAUUGAGCCUGCUGUGGACCCGUUCCAGGAAAUAGCCCCCGCGUUAGACCGUACCCCAAACCGACACAGGUGGACAGGUAGAGUAUACCCAGGCGCUUGAGAGAAUGGUGUUGAAGGAACUCGGCAAAUUGCCCUCGUAACUUCGGAAGAAGAGGGCCCCGUUCAUGCGCAAGCAAGGGCGGGGGGCACAGACCAGGGGGUAGCGACUGUUUACUAAAAACACAGGGCUCUGCGAAGCCACACAAGGCGACGUAUAGGGUCUGACGCCUGCCCGGUGCCGGAAGGUUAAGAGGAGAGGUGCAAGCCUUGAAUCGAAGCCCCGGUAAACGGCGGCCGUAACAAUAA
This 1085-nucleotide ribosomal RNA is filed under the name Climacostomum virens. RNAcentral describes it as "partial Bacterial large subunit ribosomal RNA". It matches the Rfam family "Bacterial large subunit ribosomal RNA", at positions 743 to 1945 of the family's 2925-position model. The record is from RNAcentral. Lineage: Eukaryota; Ciliophora; Heterotrichea; Heterotrichida; Climacostomidae.